This 1559-nucleotide long non-coding RNA is filed under the name Panax ginseng (ginseng). Its description in RNAcentral is "long non-coding RNA (PGIN_LNC016668)". Lineage: Eukaryota; Viridiplantae; Streptophyta; Magnoliopsida; Apiales; Araliaceae. The record is from RNAcentral.
GAAUAUCUAUAGUACUUAAUAUUAAUAAACUGCAUAGAAACACACAUACCUACCAUUACCAAAAAGAAGUUGAAUAAUAGAACAAUGUAUGCAGCAGUGCAUAUGCUGUAUCAACCAAAGGGACUUACAAAGCACCCCCAAAAAAAAAGUCUAUCAUGCAAGGCUCUAUAAUUAAGUAAACAUUAGGAUUUUGACAUCAAAGUAUAUUUUGAACUAAACAUUUUUCCAAUUAUUUAUUAUUGCGCCCAACAAAUUAGAUCCUUUUUGUGCAAAUUAUUCAAAAGUCAUUUUCUUCUUAUCAAUUAAAAUCCUUUCAUUGUCAAAGAUACGUGGUGUGUGUGCGGUUUUGUGUUUUUCGCUUCUCAGAUAGACAAUUCUCCCACUUUAAUCAUCAGAACUGCAAAAAGUGCAAACGCCUUCAAGGAAAUCUUUCUUGUUCACCAUCACAAGUAUUCCAUCUUCUUAAUUUUCUGAGGACUCGAUUAAGAUCUUAUACAGGGAACAAAUUCAAACAUACUUAGUUAAAGUAGUUACCCCCAAAAAAAAAUCAACCAUACUAUGUCUUUCUCAGAUAACUAAUAGGUGAGUUCAUUCUAAACAAAAUGCAAAACCAACUUGUUCAUUCAUCAUCACCUCCAAUAUGUACUCUAAGCAAAAGUACAGUUUUUGGAACUGUCAAUUCCAAUAAAAACUCAAUUAGUUAGAAGAAAUAUGGAAGAAAACUGUUACCUUAAAGUUUGGAAAAUUUUUGCAAAUUAGACUUAUUUUGUGGGACAGAGGGAGUAAUAAAUAAUAAUUACAAAAUUUCAUCGGGUCUUUUAUUUGGCUACUGAGAAAACAUGGAUUAACUAAGGAAAAAUAAAAAUAUCAGACAUUUACAAACUCAUACUCCAUUUCCUUACUUUUCCUCUGUUUCUCAGUAACCAAGCAUAGGCUAAUAAAUUUCAUUGCUACAAUUACGUUACUAAUUAUUUGUCAUACCUAAAGAUAACCCCCAUUCAACCAAAUCUCCUCGCAUUUAUGGUAAAUAAACUCAAAUCAAAAACAAAAUCCAAAAAAAUAAAAUCGUAUCCAAUUUUAUCAAAUUGAGCAAUUCAAAAACUCUUAAAACUUCUAUUUAAAAAAAUGGGCAUUCCAAUCAAAACACACAAAAAACAACAUAAUCUGAAUAUGCGUUCAAACAUUGGGACUAAACAAUGUCCGAUUUUCAUCAACAUUCACACAAAAUCCUUCUCAAACUAGAAAAAAGUGAAGAAAUCUUCAGGAAAAAUUCAACCAAACAAUAAAACAGUAAAAAAAAACAGAUAAGAACUCAUAAAUGUAUUUGGAUAUAGAAGAGAGAACCAACAUUGAAGAGCUUUGGAGCAGAGGAGUUAAUUGCUGAGAAAUGGACAAUGAAAUUGAAAGGAAAUGGAGACUAGGAGGUUUCUUUUGGAUCUUUCUCUCCCUCUCUACAACUACAUAAACUUCUCUCAAUCUCUCUCACUACUCUGCCUCUCAUCCAUUUUCUCUCUCUACAGCUUUCUCUCUCUAGACCAUCAUAUCAUACUCUCUCUCUC